RNAcentral lists this ribosomal RNA (449 nucleotides) under uncultured bacterium. RNAcentral describes it as "SSU rRNA". It matches the Rfam family "Bacterial small subunit ribosomal RNA", at positions 26 to 518 of the family's 1533-position model. The record is from RNAcentral.
AGAGCGAACGCUGGCGGCAGGCUUAACACAUGCAAGUCGAGCGCUCGUAGCAAUACGAGAGCGGCAGACGGGAGAGUAACACGUGGGAACGUACCCUUCGGUUCGGAACAACCCAGGGAAACUUGGGCUAAAUACCGGAUACGUCCGUAAGGAGAAAGAUUUAUCGCCGAAGGAUCGGCCCGCGUCUGAUUAGCUAGUUGGUGAGGUAACGGCUCACCAAGGCGACGAUCAGUAGCUGGUCUGAGAGGAUGAUCAGCCUCACUGGGACUGAGACACGGCCCAGACUCCUACGGGAGGCAGCAGUGGGGAAUAUUGGACAAUGGGCGCAAGCCUGAUCCAGCCAUGCCGCGUGGGUGAUGAAGGCCCUAGGGUUGUAAAGCCCUUUCGGCGGGGAAGAUAAUGACGGUACCCGCAGAAGAAGCCCCGGCUAACUUCGUGCCAGCAGCCGC